Molecule: long non-coding RNA, 1443 nt
Organism: Rhinolophus ferrumequinum (greater horseshoe bat)
Lineage: Eukaryota; Metazoa; Chordata; Mammalia; Chiroptera; Rhinolophidae
Exons: 2
Source: RefSeq, a predicted model, not a curated record
CAGAGGCAGGACUGGGGCGGGGCUUGAUCGGCUUUGUAGCAAAAGGCUACCUGAACCGGUGCUCCUCCUACGCCGUACCGUCACGGGUCAUCUCAGGCAGUGGCCGGUCCUCAUCGAUGCCCAGGCAGGAGUCUAGCGCUCCGGGGAUCACAUGGAGCGCUAAUCCGGAGAGCGAGCGAGCAACGGAAGUGGGGGCGUGACCAACGAUGCGGCGAAACUGCGCACACUCAGGAAUUCUACCCCAAUCGGAAGUCGGAAGUCGUGGCGUCUUCGGUUACCACGGUGACGAGCCCACUUCCGUUCUCGUACCUCUCGGGUAUCCCUUGUGAGCGCCGGGCACAAAAAUAUAAAGCCAGCCGUUUGAGAUCGUGCCGCGGGAGGUGAAAGGCCCCGCUCCCAACGUGGUGAUCACUCACGCGAAACGCAAGAAUUGCGAGACCCUGAGAUUUCUCCAGCGAUCCCCACCCCCAGGCUCAACGCAGCCAAACUGGACCGCAGUCAGGACUCCAGUUAAGAGUGAAAUGUGCUCUGGUGUAUAGUAAGGAGAUUUGACAGAUGAGUUCACCACUUACCCUACCUCCAAGAAAUAUCCUCCACCAGUCAAUUUUAAUGUAUAACUUAUGUCUCUGGAAAAUCAGCUUUUGGGGUUUUGAAGGCCCUUCAGUCUCCCAGACACCUGGGAGCGCUGUCUCCUUGUGAUAGGGCAUGUGUGUCCCAGAAGAGACACAGGGUUGGGAGGCAGUUCCGGGCUCUGAGUUGGCAGAUAACCAGCCUGAGAUGGAGAACUGGUACUGUAGCUCUUGGAAGGUAGUCUGUGGAAUGUGAUGAAGUUGUGGGUGUCAUGCCUGUCUCAGCCCUCUCAGUCUUCUAGGGUUGCUUUAUGUGAUCAGUUUAACCCUGAGAGCUGUUUGGCCCAACUGACCCUGGAGACCUGGAAAUUGGAGAAAGGAUGGCUGACUGUUGUUAGGAAGGAGACCGAGGGGAUGCUGUUUGCCAUAGAAUGUUGAUAGGUUCUGCAUAGUGCUGAAUAGUGUUGGUAUAAGCACCCGAAUUCCUUUGUUUCUGUCUAGCCUGUACAGUACUCCAGAAACCUCACCAUCUGUACUUAUGUAGUUACAGAGAUAGUAAUUUAGCCCCAGCAAUGUGUACACAUGAUGAAACACUCAUUUGGUCACAAUUAUCCCAUACUGGUGGCAAUGUAAAAUGAUGCAGCCACUUUGGAAAACAGCCUUCCACUUCAUCAAGUAAUUAAACAUAGAGUUACCAUGUGAUCCAGCAGUUCCAUUCUUAAGUAUAUAACCAAGAGUGUUGAAAACAUGUUUAUGCAAAAACUUGUAUUCAAAUCUUCAUAUCAACAUUAUUCAUAAUUGUCAAGAAAGUGGAAAUGUCCCAAAUGUCCACCAGUAAAUGAAUGGAUAAAUAAAAUGUGGUAUAUCCAAACAA